Molecule: ribosomal RNA, 435 nt
Filed under: uncultured bacterium
Lineage: Bacteria
Description: partial 16S ribosomal RNA
Rfam family: Bacterial small subunit ribosomal RNA
Source: RNAcentral
AGCGAACGCUGGCGGCAGGCUUAACACAUGCAAGUCGAACGGGCAUCUUCGGAUGUCAGCGGCAGACGGGUGAGUAACACGUGGGAACGUACCCUUCGGUUCGGAACAACUCUGGGAAACUGGAGCUAAUACCGGAUACGCCCUUACGGGGAAAGGUUUACUGCCGAAGGAUCGGCCCGCGUCUGAUUAGCUAGUUGGUGGGGUAACGGCCUACCAAGGCGACGAUCAGUAGCUGGUCUGAGAGGAUGAUCAGCCACACUGGGACUGAGACACGGCCCAGACUCCUACGGGAGGCAGCAGUGGGGAAUAUUGGACAAUGGGCGCAAGCCUGAUCCAGCCAUGCCGCGUGAGUGAUGAAGGCCUUAGGGUUGUAAAGCUCUUUUGUCCGGGACGAUAAUGACGGUACCGGAAGAAUAAGCCCCGGCUAACUUCGUG